RNAcentral lists this ribosomal RNA (460 nucleotides) under uncultured bacterium. Its description in RNAcentral is "partial 16S ribosomal RNA". It matches the Rfam family "Bacterial small subunit ribosomal RNA", at positions 338 to 795 of the family's 1533-position model. The record is from RNAcentral.
CCUACGGGUGGCAGCAGUGAGGAAUAUUGGUCAAUGGGCGCGAGUCUGAACCAGCCAAGUAGCGUGAAGGAAGACUGCCCUACGGGUUGUAAACUUCUUUUAUAAAGGAAUAAAGUGACGCACGUGUCUUUUCUUGUACGUACUUUAUGAAUAAGGAACGGCUAACUCCGUGCCAGCAGCCGCGGUAAUACGGAGGAUCCGAGCGUUAUCCGGAUUUAUUGGGUUUAAAGGGAGCGUAGAUGGGUUGUUAAGUCAGUUGUGAAAGUUUGCGGCUCAACCGGAGAAUUGCAAUUGAUACUGGGAGUCUUGAGUGCAGAUGAGGUGAGCGGAAUUCGUGGUGUAGCGGUGAAAUGCUUAGAUAUAAGGAAGAACACCAGUGGCGAAGGCGGCUUACUAAACUGCAACUGACGUUGAGGCUCGAAAGUGUGGGGAGCAAACAGGAUUAGAUACCCUAGUAGUC